CCUACGGGUGGCUGCAGUGGGGAAUAUUGGACAAUGGGCGAAAGCCUGAUCCAGCCAUGCCGCGUGUGUGAAGAAGGCCUUCGGGUUGUAAAGCACUUUCAGUGGGGAAGAAAGCCUUGGGGCUAAUACCCUCGAGGAAGGACAUCACCCACAGAAGAAGCACCGGCUAACUCCGUGCCAGCAGCCGCGGUAAUACGGAGGGUGCGAGCGUUAAUCGGAAUUACUGGGCGUAAAGCGCGCGUAGGCGGUCUGAUAAGCCGGUUGUGAAAGCCCCGGGCUCAACCUGGGAACGGCAUCCGGAACUGUCAGGCUAGAGUGCAGGAGAGGAAGGUAGAAUUCCCGGUGUAGCGGUGAAAUGCGUAGAGAUCGGGAGGAAUACCAGUGGCGAAGGCGGCCUUCUGGACUGACACUGACGCUGAGGUGCGAAAGCGUGGGUAGCAAACAAGAUUAGAUACCCGAGUAGUC
This 465-nucleotide ribosomal RNA is filed under the name Vreelandella stevensii. Its description in RNAcentral is "partial 16S ribosomal RNA". It matches the Rfam family "Bacterial small subunit ribosomal RNA", at positions 338 to 795 of the family's 1533-position model. The record is from RNAcentral. Lineage: Bacteria; Pseudomonadati; Pseudomonadota; Gammaproteobacteria; Oceanospirillales; Halomonadaceae.